GGCAGAUGAUGGCUUUUUCUCACAAUGGUCAACAGAUGCUCCUGUGGGCACUACUGAUAAUGCCAGUGUCUUAGCUGAUACCAGAGA
RNAcentral lists this small nucleolar RNA (87 nucleotides) under Dasypus novemcinctus (nine-banded armadillo). Its description in RNAcentral is "Small nucleolar RNA SNORD35 (ENSDNOG00000039239.1)". It matches the Rfam family "Small nucleolar RNA SNORD35". Rfam says of the family: U35 is a C/D box snoRNA located in intron 6 of ribosomal protein L13A and intron 3 of ribosomal protein S11 in humans and at homologous positions in mouse and chicken ribosomal protein genes. Lineage: Eukaryota; Metazoa; Chordata; Mammalia; Cingulata; Dasypodidae. The record is from RNAcentral.